GAUGAACGCUGGCGGCGUGCCUAAUACAUGCCAGUCGAGCGAACAGACGAGGAGCUUGCUCCUCUGACGUUAGCGGCGGACGGGUGAGUAACACGUGGAUAACCUCCCUAUAAGACUGGGAUAACUUCGGGAAACCGGAGCUAAUACCGGAUAAUAUUUUGAACCGUAUUGUUCAAUAGUGAAAGACGGUUUUGCUGUCACUUAUAGAUGGUUCCGCGCCGCAUUAGCUAGUUGGUAAGGUAACGGCUUACCAAGGCAACGAUGCGUAGCCGACCUGAGAGGGUGGUCAGCCACACUGGAACUGAGACACGGUCCAGACUCCUACGGGAGGCAGCAGUAGGGAAUCUUACGCAAUGGGCGAAAGCCUGACGGAGCAACGCCGCGUGAGUGAUAAAGGUCUUCGGAUCGUAGAACUCUGUUAUUAGGGAGGAACAAAUGUGUAAGUAACUAUGCACGUCUUGACGGUACCUAACCAGAAAGCAACGGCUAACUACGUG
This 497-nucleotide ribosomal RNA is filed under the name uncultured bacterium. RNAcentral's name for it is "partial 16S ribosomal RNA". It matches the Rfam family "Bacterial small subunit ribosomal RNA", at positions 28 to 507 of the family's 1533-position model. The record is from RNAcentral.